This 1584-nucleotide long non-coding RNA is filed under the name Hordeum vulgare. RNAcentral describes it as "long non-coding RNA (HVUL_LNC004365)". Lineage: Eukaryota; Viridiplantae; Streptophyta; Magnoliopsida; Poales; Poaceae. The record is from RNAcentral.
CUAUUUAGUUGUUUCUCUAACAUUUUUCGCACUUUCAUGUUGGACACAAGUGAACAACAUCACUCUCGAAAGUGAACGAGAGGUAGAUAACUAGUGAACUACAUCUCUAAAGAAGUAAACUUUAAGAUACUUUUCCUUUUUAUUGUUUUACCAAGUGAACCACAUAGUAUUUUUUUCACUGAGCCGUGACACAUUACACACACGUUCAACUCUGAAAAAUCAGCAAAAAAUGCUUCAUGCUUAUGGUGCACUCCACUGCAUUCCAGCAGAGAGAGCACCUGCAAAACGCACACAUCCAUCCACUAAACUGCAAAACACACAUGGGAUGUGGGAGGCUGCUUGUGGUGGCUCGCAAUCAUCUUUGUAUCAGCUCUUGAAACUCAUUGUCGACUUAACUAGAAGUGUGUGCGCUGCCGACCAACUCCAUGUGGUCCUCUUGCCGGCCACAUAACAAUUUUCAUCAUAGGCACACAACAUCCAGCAAACAGCCGAGCCGCACGCACGAGCAACCGAGAUGCACUCUGUCAUCGGCGAGCCACACUCCUGUCAUCGGGGAACUGCACCAAUGACCAACUCUGAAAAAUCAACAAAGAAACACGCUCGUCACUAGCGGCUUUAACAGCUGUGGGCCAGACUUUAGUGACCGAGGCUAUGGAACUCAUGCCGUGAGGCAACGGACUGCAUCCCGUGCCAACCGGACUGCCUUGCGCUAGAUAGUGCACCACAAAGCGAGUGCUCUAGGUCACCACGGCACCAGUGGUGCACGGUGAGAAUGAAGAAGGGCAGUCCAGCACACUGGACACCGCCUGGCCAAGGCCCAGGGCCCACUGCACUUUAUGCCCGCACCAGCUGUACUGCUUUGACACGCGCUUGCUCGCUACUGGCACCAUCGGACGCGUCAGGGGCCUUUGUGUUCUCCACUGCUUGCUAAUCGUCUCUGGCAGGGGGAAGAUAUAAGUUGGAGAAGAGGGAGGUAGUGGUAGGUUUAGAGCAAGAAGUGGAAGGCGCAAGCGCCCCUCUGCUGGAUCUGGUUGGAGGAGGAGGGAAACCAGGGGGCAUGCGGGGGUGAGAAGGGCUCUUGUUGGCCGGAUCUACCCAGGGAGGAGGGUCAAUGGAAGGGGAACAUGGGAUCAGUGCGUGCGUCACUCUAUAGAAGAGGGAACCGGUAAAGGGAGGAGGAGCCCACACACGCGCUGGAUCUGGUGCUCGCGAGGAGGGAAUGUGUGUAGGUCUGUUAGAUCCAUGGCGACGAUUCCAGGAUGUUCAGAUCCGAUCUUGGGAUGGACAAAUUAGAAGGUCGGAGGGGUGGGUGCAAGACGAGAAAAAUAUAGGUCACGACACGAGAAAAAAUGAAUUCAUUGUAUUUUUUACACUAUUUUUGUAUGUUCAUAAUUUAACGUUGAAACGAUCGAUAUGGUUGACUAGAGGGGAUGGGGUGAAUAAGCAACUACCAAAUUUUAGUUCUUAACAAAUUAGGGUUAGCAACAAAAAAGUUCUCUAGAUAAACAACUAGGUGAGCAACCUAUAUGAUUCUAACAACAACAACAACUAAUGCAACCUUUGCUAGAAGGGGUACAACCAAAC